This 325-nucleotide ribosomal RNA is filed under the name uncultured eukaryote. RNAcentral describes it as "partial 18S ribosomal RNA". It matches the Rfam family "Eukaryotic small subunit ribosomal RNA", at positions 1470 to 1796 of the family's 1831-position model. The record is from RNAcentral.
CCCUUAGAUGUCCUGGGCCGCGCGCGCGCUACACUGAUGCAUUCAACGAGUUUUACCUUGGCCGAGAGGCCUGGGCAAUCUUUUAAACCUGCAUCGUGAUAGGGAUAGAUUAUUGCAAUUAUUAAUCUUGAACGAGGAAUUCCUAGUAAACGCAGAUCAUCAAUCUGCAUUGAUUACGUCCCUGCCCUUUGUACACACCGCCCGUCGCACCUACCGAUUGAAUGGUCCGGUGAAGCCUCGGGAUUGUGGCCAGUUCACUUUAUUGGGAGUUGGCUGCGAGAACUUGUCUAAACCUUAUCAUUUAGAGGAAGGUGAAGUCGUAACA